GCGACCCCAGGUAUGGGCGAGGCCACCC
Molecule: ribosomal RNA, 28 nt
Filed under: Cyanaeorchis arundinae
Lineage: Eukaryota; Viridiplantae; Streptophyta; Magnoliopsida; Asparagales; Orchidaceae
Description: partial 26S ribosomal RNA
Source: RNAcentral